CAGGUAGGCGGCUCAAUAAGUUCUGGGUGAAAUCCUUCCGCUUAACGGAAGAACUGCCUGGAAAACUAUUGGGAUUGAGACUAGGAGAGGAGAGCGGAAUUCCCGGUGUAAGGUUGAAAUCUGUAGAUAUCGGGAGGAACACCAGUAGCGAAGGCGGCUCUCUGGCCUAGAUCUGACGCUGAGCUGCGAAAGCUAGGGGAGCAAACA
RNAcentral lists this ribosomal RNA (207 nucleotides) under uncultured bacterium. RNAcentral describes it as "partial 16S ribosomal RNA". It matches the Rfam family "Bacterial small subunit ribosomal RNA", at positions 568 to 774 of the family's 1533-position model. The record is from RNAcentral.